CUUUCUUGGCAUGCUUGUUGUUUUCCUGUACAUGUAUGCAAAAGUCCAGUGCUAUGUGUUCGGUGCCAGGAGGCAAGCCGUCCUCUGGUUCUAUCCUUAAUCACUGGCACAUUU
Molecule: non-coding RNA, 114 nt
Organism: Xyrichtys novacula (pearly razorfish)
Lineage: Eukaryota; Metazoa; Chordata; Actinopteri; Labriformes; Labridae
Source: the annotation of a GenBank genome assembly